Molecule: RNA transcript, 2099 nt
Organism: Bactrocera neohumeralis
Lineage: Eukaryota; Metazoa; Arthropoda; Insecta; Diptera; Tephritidae
Gene name: ADAMTS-like protein 3
Exons: 7
Source: RefSeq, a predicted model, not a curated record
CAGCCACGUGGCGCGCCAUUGCCGGCUGACGGUAAUUCGCAAGUGCCUUGCAAAUCCGUUGGAAGGCUAAAUAACAAACAACAACAAUAAAAACAGCAAAAGUUGUGUCGUCGCCGCAAUAAUGCCGACACAAAGUCUAAAGUUAAGUGGCGGGCGUGCUCGAGUAUAUUCGUGUGUGUGUGUUUUUUGCUGUGUUGACCGGAAGUGAAAGCAAGAAAAGGAAGUGCAAUGAAAGUGUUUUCCUCUUCUCUUGCAUAAAUAAGUAAAUCUGCGCUUUUCUAGUAUUUACAAAGAAUUGUGAGAAAUCUGCGGAUAUAGCUGUUCAAAAGGCACAAACCACAACAACGCGCUACAUUACUCUCCCAUUAACUAAUUUCAUAAAAUCAUAAAAAUUAGAAGUUAGAUCUAAGGCAAAAAAUUAAACUGUGAUGGCCGUAAAGUUCACUGAUUGCAACUAAAAGCACUGUGUGCAAAGAAAGAGUAAAGGAAAAACACGAGCUACUAUUUUUUCGCUUUGCAGGUGUCAUAAAGUAGUGCAUGGAUUACUCAAAAUUCUCGCUCAAUUGCACAUAAUUUUGGAUAUAUAGUAUAAACUUCUUCUACUCUUGGAAAUAUGCCAUUUUUCAAUGAAAAUAUCUCGAUGAUAUUUACGUGGAACACCGCCUCCGAUUUGUAGAAUGAAUUUGAAUGCAUGCUGCAGCAAAAGCGUGCCAAAAGCAAUAGCAGCAUCCCAUCCUCAUCGAGAAGCAAACAUGGCCAAUAGUCCGGUUGGUCGGGGUGGUCCGACCUGUUCAAGAACCUACGAAGACAGCGUCAUGCAACAAAUACGCCACAGCUUCAACACAAACGGCUGCAAGGGCGAAAGCGUACGCUAUCGCAUCUGCAAUAUUCAGCCAUAUCCGGAGCAGCAAGGCUAUCGUGCGUAUCAGCGUGCCGCCUAUAAUGACAUGCCAUAUGAUGGCACACUCUACCUGUGGACGCCACACUACGAUUAUAUGGAGCCAUGCGCGUUGACAUGCAGAAAUUUGGCGAUUCGAGACGUCAUCACAUGCUGUUCGAUAAGGGUCUACAAUUAGGCAUCGAUUUGGAAAAUUUCGAACAGGACGUGCAGAUGCGACCACAAUUCGUUAUUGAAUAUCUGCGGGACCUUGUAGCGUCCGAAGUAUUUGCUCCAUUAUCUGUAGCAGUCACGAAGGACGGCAGCAGCAAUGAGUGGCACGAACAGGAAGCAACAGACCAUGUAAGCGCCAUCACUAGUACAACAACAACGUUGCCAUAAGAUAGCAAUGCCGUUGGCGCAACACACGAGGACGACGCACCACAUUUACCGCACGCCAGGUGGCAGAAGCGGGGUGAGCCAGAAACAGCCACAGUGGCCACGAGUAACCACGUCACGUACGAAAGGCGCAUCAGCGAUUGGUCGGAGUGUUCAGAGAAGCGUGGUAAUGCGGGCGGCAAAAGUAUAUGGUAGCUUGCCUACGUUUGCGCCAUCACACAUCUACAUACAACGUGUUGGAAUCACACAUGGCAGCGGACAUCGAAACGGCGGACAAUGCGUACUGUGAGGAUUAUGGACUAAGCGUUCCUGACACGUUUGAAAUGUGCGUUCAUGAGGAGUGUGUCCGUUACGAGACCGGCGAGAGGACUUUGUGUCAGCGUUCUCGUUGCUUUGUACGCAAUACAGUCAUACAAAAGCGUGAGGUGAAAUGUCGAUUUGAGAAUGCGUCCCAAUAGACGGCAGGCGUGCUAUAGUCAGUGGUGCAAGGGGAUUGGUCGUGUUGAGCUAUGGUCCGAGUGCGGUCACCAGGGAAUUAAAUACCAUAUUAUACUGUGUGUUCAGUGUGGUACGCGCCGACCAGCAGGCAACGCUUGUCGCCACCAACCACUUUCCGCAGUUAUAAAAGAAUACAAGAGUCCGUCAUGCUUUGCAAAAGCGAGCAUCGUGUUGUAGCAACAGGCGAAAACAGAAGCAGAGCGUGUCUUGCCAAGUUCAUAUUGAGUUAAAUAAAGAAUAAUAAAAUAUUAGCAACUCAGCGUAAAACUUUAGAAAGUACAGGAAUGAAGUACAAAAUCUGGUACUCAACAUAAGAAUAAAUAAU